Triticum dicoccoides is the source of this 526-nucleotide long non-coding RNA. RefSeq lists it as uncharacterized. The transcript is spliced from 3 exons. The record is from RefSeq and is a predicted model, not a curated record. NCBI's taxonomy places the organism in Eukaryota, Viridiplantae, Streptophyta, Magnoliopsida, Poales, Poaceae.
UCAGUGCUCUCUUAAUGAUCCCCCGCCGCGGUGACGUCCUCCACUCACCGCCCCUGCUCUUCUCCGAUUCUCCAUGACUCGACCGCGGCGACGCCCUUCGCGCCCCAGCUCACCGGCCUGGCUCCAAUCAGUGCUCUCCUCGAAUCCUCCGCCUCGGCAACGUCGCCACGGGUAGCGUCUUGGGAUCCGGACCACGGGGUGACGUGGGCUCCGGAUGCGCGGCUGCUUUCUUGGGAUGGACCGUGCUUCAUCGCCUUGGCUACCUCGACUCCAAUGGUUAUAGUUCAAGCAAGCAAAUUAUUUUGAAUGAUAAGGAGUUGCAACCAUCAAACGUAAGCCCUGCUACUGAUAAGAUUGAUAGGACAAAUGGUUGAUGCAUGGCCAAGAUGUUGAUUUUGAGGCGCAUACUGGUGCUACUACCAGAUAGCUCGACAUUAUGUUUUAGAAUGUCAUUCAAUGGUCAAUGUUAGAGCAGAUCAUAUCUAUAUAUUAUGUAUUCUAUAUCAUGUAGUCCUCGGAUGAUGUC